Molecule: small RNA, 175 nt
Filed under: Buchananella hordeovulneris
Lineage: Bacteria; Bacillati; Actinomycetota; Actinomycetes; Actinomycetales; Actinomycetaceae
Description: Actinomyces hordeovulneris c-di-AMP sequence
Rfam family: c-di-AMP riboswitch aptamer (ydaO/yuaA leader)
About the family: This family represents a conserved RNA structure found upstream of the ydaO and yuaA genes in Bacillus subtilis and related genes in other bacteria.
Source: RNAcentral
UGCCAAGUCCUGCCGACUUCCAGCGGCAAAACAACACAGGAAAACGAUGGCAGGAGCGGGGGAACCGCAUUGGUCCCGGGAAACCGAGACCUUGGGGUGAAGCACCGGAAACGGUGCCGGGCUAUCUCCAGUCCGAAUCCGACAGCUCACCCCGGCGGCAUCCAGGAGAGGUACU